UACGAAGGGGGCUAGCGUUGCUCGGAUUUACUGGGUGUAAAGGGCGCGUAGGCGGACAGUUUAGUCAGAGGUGAAAGCCCAGGGCUCAACCUUGGAAUUGCCUUUGAUACUGGCUGUCUUGAGUACGGGAGAGGUGAGUGGAACUCCGAGUGUAGAGGUGAAAUUCGUAGAUAUUCGGAAGAACACCAGUGGCGAAGGCGGCUCACUGGCCCGUUACUGACGCUGAGGCGCGAAAGCGUGGGGAGCAAACAGG
This 253-nucleotide ribosomal RNA is filed under the name uncultured bacterium. RNAcentral describes it as "partial 16S ribosomal RNA". It matches the Rfam family "Bacterial small subunit ribosomal RNA", at positions 524 to 776 of the family's 1533-position model. The record is from RNAcentral.